GUGUGGUGAGAAGGAGCCGAAGAAGUUGGAUAAUUGUGAUGACCAGCCAAACCAUGGACCUGAAACUUUAAACACAGUGGAAAUGGAGUGUGGUGAGAAGGAGUCGAAGAAGUUGGAUAAUUGUGUUGACCAGCCGAAUCAUGGACCUGAAACUUUAAACACAGAGGAAAUGGAGUGUGGUGAGAAGGAGCCGAAGAAGUUGGAUAAUUGUGGUGACCAGCCGAAUCAUGGACCUGAAACUUUAAACACAGAGGAAAUGGAGUGUGGUGAGAAGGAGCCGAAGAAGUUGGAUAAUUGUGAUGACCAGCCGAAUCAUGGACCUGAAACUUUAAACACAGAGGAAAUGGAGUGUGGUGAGAAGGUGCUGAAGAAGUUGAAUAAUUGUGGUGACCAGCCAAAUCAUGCACUUGAAACUUUAAACACAGAGGAAAUGGAGUGUGGUGAGAAGGAGCCGAAGAAGUUGGAUAAUUGUGGUGACCAGCCAAAUAAUGCACCUGAAACUUUAAAC
RNAcentral lists this long non-coding RNA (508 nucleotides) under Capsicum annuum. Its description in RNAcentral is "long non-coding RNA (CANN_LNC016302)". The record is from RNAcentral. Lineage: Eukaryota; Viridiplantae; Streptophyta; Magnoliopsida; Solanales; Solanaceae.